AGAGUUGAUCCUGGCUCAGGAUGAACGCUAGCUACAGGCUUAACACAUGCAAGUCGAGGGGCAGCAUGAUCUUAGCUGCUAAGAUUGAUGGCGACCGGCGCACGGGUGAGUAACGCGUAUCCAACCUUCCCUGUACUAAGGGGAUAGCCCGGCGAAAGUCGGAUUAAUACCCUAUGUUUUCCGAAGCGAGCAUUUAAUUUGGAACAAAGGUUUACCGGUAUAGGAUGGGGAUGCGUCUGAUUAGAUAGUAGGCGGGGUAACGGCCCACCUAGUCGACGAUCAGUAGGGGUUCUGAGAGGAAGGUCCCCCACAUUGGAACUGAGACACGGUCCAAACUCCUACGGGAGGCAGCAGUGAGGAAUAUUGGUCAAUGGACGAGAGUCUGAACCAGCCAAGUAGCCGUGCAGGAUGACGGCCCUAUGGGUUGUAAACUGCUUUUAUAUAGGGAUAAAGUGAGGGACGUGUCCCUUAUUGUAGGUACUAUAUGAAUAAGGACCGGCUAAUUCCGUGCCAGCCGCCGC
RNAcentral lists this ribosomal RNA (521 nucleotides) under uncultured bacterium. RNAcentral describes it as "bacterial SSU rRNA". It matches the Rfam family "Bacterial small subunit ribosomal RNA", at positions 8 to 518 of the family's 1533-position model. The record is from RNAcentral.